ACGCCGGGUUUAUAAUAACCACCCAAGAUCAAGGCCACCAUUGUAAGUUUUACAAUCCCCACAAGAUGAGCCGAUCUCCCGGAAGUGACUUUAAUGCCACCAUGUCCACUGAUGACAGGCUGGUUUUGACGUGGGUCCCAAUGUCGUCGAAUUUCUACGAAAUCCAGAUUGAAGGAAAAUUCAAGCCCGAUUUUUACGUGCACAAGAAGACCAAAAGGUGCCUGCAUAUCACAGUGAAUGAGACCAAAAAGCGUCACAGGCCUUUGAGAUCACACGAAGUGAAAUGCAUACAGGUAAACAGCUCUUUUAACGGAACCAUCUCGAUGUUUGUGCAGAAAAUCGACACAACUCGUCGUUGUUUGGUAGACAAUACGUGCAGCAUUACGAGCAAAUCUCUAAACUAUAUUGUCCCCCAAGAUAUAAAUACUACUACUUCUAGUACGACUACUACUACUACUACUACUACGAUGACGACGACAAUGACUAUU
Molecule: long non-coding RNA, 488 nt
Organism: Dreissena polymorpha
Lineage: Eukaryota; Metazoa; Mollusca; Bivalvia; Myida; Dreissenidae
Exons: 4
Source: RefSeq, a predicted model, not a curated record